This 253-nucleotide ribosomal RNA is filed under the name uncultured bacterium. RNAcentral describes it as "partial 16S ribosomal RNA". It matches the Rfam family "Bacterial small subunit ribosomal RNA", at positions 524 to 776 of the family's 1533-position model. The record is from RNAcentral.
UACGGGGGGGGUAAGCGUUGUUCGGAAUUACUGGGCGUAAAGGGCUCGUAGGCGGCCAACUAAGUCAGACGUGAAAUCCCUCAGCUUAACUGGGGAACUGCGUCUGAUACUGGAUGGCUUGGAUUCGGGAGAGGAAUGCGGAAUUCCAGGUGUAGCGGUGAAAUGCGUAGAUAUCUGGAGGAACACCGGUGGCGAAGGCGGGUCUCUGGGCAAUUCCUGACGCUGAGGCGCGAAAGCGUGGGGAGCAAACAGG